This 207-nucleotide ribosomal RNA is filed under the name uncultured bacterium. RNAcentral describes it as "partial 16S ribosomal RNA". It matches the Rfam family "Bacterial small subunit ribosomal RNA", at positions 568 to 774 of the family's 1533-position model. The record is from RNAcentral.
UGCGUAGGCGGCUUAGUGGGUCUGGUGUGAAAGCCCCGGGCUCAGCCCGGGAAGGGCACUAGAAACUGCUAAGCUCGAGUGCCGGAGGGGAGAGUGGAAUUCCUGGUGUAGCGGUGAAAUGCGUAGAUAUCAGGAGGAAUACCGGUGGCGAAAGCGACUCUCUGGACGGCAACUGACGCUGAGGCACGAAAGCGUGGGGAGCAAACA